Molecule: ribosomal RNA, 389 nt
Filed under: uncultured Acidobacteriota bacterium
Lineage: Bacteria; Pseudomonadati; Acidobacteriota
Description: bacterial SSU rRNA
Rfam family: Bacterial small subunit ribosomal RNA
Source: RNAcentral
GUCGAAGCUGACGCGUUAAGUUCGCCGCCUGAGGAGUACGGUCGCAAGAGCUGAUACUCAAAGGAAUUGACGGGUGCCCGCACAAGCGGUGGAGCAUGUGGAUCAAUUCGACACGACCCGAACAACAUCACGUGGGCUCGAACGGCGUAGGAUCAUCUGGGGAAACAGAGACUUCACGCAAGAGACCGGAGUAGAGGUGCUGCAUGGCUGUCGUCAGCUCGUGUCGUGAGAUGUUGGGUUAAGUCCCGCAACGAGCGCAACCCUUGUCCUGUGUUGCCACUACCUUAAGGGAAGCACUCUCAGGAGACCGCCAGCGAUAAGUUGGAGGAAGGUGGGGAUGAUGUCAAGUCAUCAUGGCCUUUAUGUCCAGGGCUACACACGUGCUACAA